Long non-coding RNA from Daphnia pulicaria, 944 nucleotides. RefSeq lists it as uncharacterized. The record is from RefSeq and is a predicted model, not a curated record. Lineage: Eukaryota; Metazoa; Arthropoda; Branchiopoda; Diplostraca; Daphniidae. The transcript has 8 exons.
GCGCCAUCCAGUUCAUUUGGCUGCAAUCGGAUUGGCUAACGAGUCGACACGCCAGAAAAAUGGACACGAAGACGGUGGGAGGUAAUGCCGUGACGGUGAGGAUCAGUAGCCAUGGUAACUGCUGUUGCCACAACUGUCACAGACACACAGUGUAACCAGCCACAGAACGAUGGACAACCUGCAACAGUCCGAUAGAUGGGAAUGCAACACGACACAACUGACGCUGUUAAGAGAAGAUAAUAAGAGCCAGGCCGUGCAUAUCCCGGCAGCUGAUCUACCGGUGUUUCAUAUUAUCUUCGAGGCCAUUCUCCGUGGAAACCAGCAUAUGCGGUUGUACAACGAGACAACUCCUAAUCAGGUCUGGACCCAGCCCAUCAGUAACCAUGGCAACUGACACACGGAACGGCGGUGAACCGACAACAGUCGGAUCGAUGGGAAUGCAACACAUGACACACUAUCAACUGUGAAGGGAGGACCGCGAUAAGAUGGAGACGAUAGAAAGGCGAGGUCAUCUAUCCAAUGUCUAGCCACCCAAAAGUGCGACGAAGAUAUGGCUCAUCUGCUGUAGUUUGAAUCCUCGUUUGCUGACACAUUGGCAGUCGUGGCGGAUUCAAAACGGAAUGACUGACGCAAUUCUUCUUGAAAGGAAUCACAGUGACAUCACUACUACUCAGAACAAAAGGUAGGUGAUGAGCAACUGGCAGUGUGAGGUGAUUUCUUCGACGGUGAAAGAUACCUAUAGCUGAAAAGUGUAGAGCCUAUGCAGAUUUCUGUAAAGCUUGGAAAUUCAAUUUCGCUCAUUGAUCCCUAGAAGAAGCUUUGAUAACUACUUGACCGAAACGCUACCAGUCAUCAUCCCAUGCACAUCUUCACCUGGGAAUUUCCUUUCCUGAAUUUUAGACAUUCGACUGAAUGGAUCGUUAGUCGUCUUCCAAAAAAAUAAA